CGCAUGAGACCACAGAGCUGCAUGGCUUAGGGGUCAAAGAUUUAUCGGUAGAGGGUGGGCUCGCGUCUGAUUAGGUAGUUGGUGAGGUAACGGCCCACCAAGCCGACGAUCAGUAGCCGACCUGAGAGGGUGAUCGGCCACAUUGGGACUGAGACACGGCCCAAACUCCUACGGGAGGCAGCAGUGGGGAAUAUUGGGCAAUGGGGGAAACCCUGACCCAGCAACGCCGCGUGGAGGAAGAAGGUUUUCGGAUCGUAAACUCCUGUCCUCAGGGAAGAGCAGAAGACGGUACCUGAGGAGGAAGCCCCGGCUAACUACGUG
This 321-nucleotide ribosomal RNA is filed under the name uncultured bacterium. RNAcentral describes it as "bacterial SSU rRNA". It matches the Rfam family "Bacterial small subunit ribosomal RNA", at positions 170 to 507 of the family's 1533-position model. The record is from RNAcentral.